ACCCGCUGAAUUUAAGCCAAUCAAUA
This 26-nucleotide ribosomal RNA is filed under the name Chattonella marina. RNAcentral describes it as "partial large subunit ribosomal RNA". The record is from RNAcentral. Lineage: Eukaryota; Raphidophyceae; Chattonellales; Chattonellaceae.